AUAAAGUAAGAGGGGCGGGUGCUCCCAAACUGAAUUAGAUUUAGUACAAAUGGGAAUGGCACAAGGGUCAAUAUUGGAAGUUUGUAAAGCCAAACGUGUCUUGUGACUUGAUGCUUCUCUGAAGGCAGCGGCUCAUAAAGCCAACGCGUUGUUACAGGGAUGCAUGGAAUGCAGGGAUACAGUGUGGAAACGCGUUGGCUUUAUGAAAUGUACACACAGGGCGCCACAUAAGCUUACCUUCAAGCAGACAGUACAAAUGUCAUUUAUAAUGAAUACAAUUGAGCUGUACACUCUGGCAGCUCCCCAUUCUUCUAUUAUUUGCUGUGGGAUGAGAGGCCAAGUUAACACAUUGUUUCCCAGAGCCCUGGAUAAAGCCACACGUUACACUCAUCCCCUCUUCCUCUUACACUAGUGGUACAGCCCAUUCAUUCCUUCAAUGAAGUAAACACAGAGGCCUGUGAGCUACAGCUGAGCCUGAGGUUUGCGUGAGGGGCAACCAAGCAGCAGCAGCAGUAAGAGCAAUGUGAGCAGCUCAGCUGUACCGGGACACACACACCGGCGUAAAGCGAGGAUAGAUUUAAAGAUGGCGGCGGCGGCACCACAAAGGAAGACAGAGCCGGCCUUUCUCAUUAUCUAUAGAAGAGCAGCAGUGUCUCACGCACGGGCACUAGAGAGGCGGGUGACGGUCGGUCUGGAUAAGCUGCUGUCAUUUUGCCUUGUUCUUUCUGGCCUGAAACUUCAGCUGCACUAGUACCAUCAGAUUCUACUAUUCAUCAGCGUCAUUGUGAUCAUUCUCUUAUGUGCUGGCCUUUCCCUGAAGUGGAGGGAAGAAUGGAGAACCGUAUAGAUAUCUACAUACAGGUUAGUGAUGUGCGGGCCGACCCGAUACCCACGGGACCUGUGUGUAAGGAAUGCACACAAGUAUAUUGUCUGUCAUUGUGCAAACAAGAGUAUCCAGGUGGGAAUCCACUCGAUAAUGUAAUAAGGAGGGGUUUUAAAGGUUUGGGCUGUGGGGAGAGGGGUCACAGACAUCAGCUUGGUAUGAUCAGCUCACUUGAUUAAAUCCAGAAACAUAUCAACCCCCCCCCAUGUGACUUCAGCAUUAAUAAGCAAUUAAUAGAGACGCAAGCUGCAGCACGGCACAGAAACCAAUGCAGUCUGCAUCAUACACUAAUGACUUUAAUAUGGGAAGGCGAUUGCUCUCACCUCCGAGCUCAGGAAUAGUUGUCACUUAUCAGCCUUCUCUUUGCUUAGCCCUUGGCUUUUAUUUGACUCUUUCAGUCACAAUGUCCUUACCAGCAGCAACUCCUACCUCCAGUACCACGGUUACCCGGUUACCCUGCUUACCCAGCUCCUGGGCCCGGCUUAUUAUAUUAUUCCCACAUUGUUCGACCUCAGGCCCUCACUCUCUGCUGUCAGGGUUCGAAGUACCUCACUGCAGCCGCCAAGUUUUCAAAAUACGAAAGCUUAGGCUUGGCCAAUCAGAAGGAGGCUACAUGCUGGGCUGUCUGCUACGCAAAACGCCAUGCCCUCGUUCCGUCUAUGUUUUGGGCACGCUCAGGCCAUACUGUAGUGCACCAAUAGGAGUUCACGCAGGCCAUGCAAGUCAAGCCCACUUCUCCCGCCAUUUAGCGUCACGUAUUCUAAUAAAAGUAUCGGCUUCUUUGCUAAUCUGAGGGCAUUAUAUAUUAUGGGUAUGGCACUGGAAGGGAAAUAUGUGGUUAAUGGUCUGCUAGCCGUGGUAACCUCCCACCUCCUUGUGCUUAUAGAUUGCGCCUGGUGUGAAACACAAGCGUGUUUUUUGGCGCAGUCCGGCAGGCUCAGUGUUAAAGAAAGGGGGACGUUAUCUAAUGAGAGGAGUUGGCAUGAGGCAAUUUUUAAGCAGUUUCCGCUGUUGCUCAUAUACAACUCCCAGUGUUGGACUCCGUGUUCACAUCCAUGAUGGAUAUAAUACUGCAAGAGUAUAAUUUACACAAAAAUAAUGUCCAGAAUCAAUUUAUUUACGUACCCCAAGGAGCUAUUAUUCUGGGGACCUUGACAACUGUACCCAAAGUGUCCCCUUCGUUAAUACUUCUUUUAUACUUUAAUUAUGUACUUUUGCAUACUUUUAUUUAUGUACCCCGUGGGGGCUAUUAUUCUGGGGACCAUGACAAGUGUCCCCUUCAUUAAAACUUCAUCCAAGUCAUCUUUAUUAUCCUGCCUGUCUCCCAGUUAAUGCUCAUGCGAGUUUUAUUCUCUUUAUUGCACUGAGGAGCGUAUCUGUUUCCAGAAUCAGGAGAAUCUGAAAGAACAAGGCACAGUAGCUGAGCGACAAGGCCUGUAAUAUAAAGACCAACCCUGGUUUCGAGAAGGAUGGAAAGGCUAAAGAUGUUCAGCAGUCACAGAGGUGAUGUCCCUUUAUAAAUGGAUAGUAGCUCUAACUGCAAAUGAUGAGAAUCAAAAAAUGGGAUACAGCUAUUUCUCCCUUACAAAAUUUUGGACUUCUAGCUAAUUUAGCGUAUUAUAUCUCCAGUAAUAAAGAAAUAUAAGAGUAAUAAAUGGAAUGUGCCAAGAAUAAACUCAUUUUAUCCUUGGUAGUAGCAUAUAUUGUUCUGCCUUUUUACAGAACAUAUAAUCAGCUCAGUGUCCGUACUGAACAGUAGCUUUAAUUGGGGACUUCAAGGAUGAAGUAUACACAACACUGUUUAUUAGUGUUAAUGAGCUUGUAUUUUCUCUCAGCUUAAAGGAUCCCGAACGCCCUCAUGUCCCAAAACUGUCGUGGUGGUUGGAACUGAGGAGUUUUAAGAAAUUUUUAUUUUUUACAAAGACCUAUUAACUAAAACAGCUGCAACAGUACUCCCUGUACCCUUCUGAAGGUGGCCAUACCUCUAUUUUCAGAGGCUGUUGAAACUGUGCCCAGACAGCGGCAACAUAAGGUCAACGGAACUUUGAAGACUGAAUUUUAUGCUUAGAGGGAGGUAAAUUAUGUUACAAUCAAAUCUGUAAUCAAUAUAUGUCCUUACCAUGUGUACAAUAAAUGUUACCAUAUAAACCAA
This is a long non-coding RNA of Xenopus laevis (African clawed frog), 3035 nucleotides long. RefSeq lists it as uncharacterized. The transcript has 3 exons. Lineage: Eukaryota; Metazoa; Chordata; Amphibia; Anura; Pipidae. The record is from RefSeq and is a predicted model, not a curated record.